This 468-nucleotide ribosomal RNA is filed under the name uncultured bacterium. Its description in RNAcentral is "partial 16S ribosomal RNA". It matches the Rfam family "Bacterial small subunit ribosomal RNA", at positions 28 to 507 of the family's 1533-position model. The record is from RNAcentral.
GACGAACGCUGGCGGCGUGCUUAACACAUGCAAGUCGAACGGAAAGGCCCUGCUUUUGUGGGGUGCUCGAGUGGCGAACGGGUGAGUAACACGUGAGUAACCUGCCCUUGACUUUGGGAUAACUUCAGGAAACUGGGGCUAAUACCGGAUAGGAGCUCCUGCUGCAUGGUGGGGGUUGGAAAGUUUCGGCGGUUGGGGAUGGACUCGCGGCUUAUCAGCUUGUUGGUGGGGUAGUGGCUUACCAAGGCUUUGGCGGGUAGCCGGCCUGGGAGGGUGACCGGCCACAUUGGGACUGAGAGACGGCCCAGAGUCGUACGGGAGACAGCGGUGGGGAAUAUGGUACAAUGGUCGGAAGCUUGAUGCAGCAACGCCGGGUGCGGGAUGACGGCCUUCGGGUUAUGAACAGCUGUCGCCUGUGACGAAGCGUGAGUGACGGUAAUGGGAAAAGAAGCACCGGCUAACUACGUG